AGUGAACGCUGGCGGUAGGCCUAACACAUGCAAGUCGAACGGCAGCACAGUAAGAGCUUGCUCUUACGGGUGGCGAGUGGCGGACGGGUGAGGAAUACCUCGGAAUCUACUUUUUCGUGGGGGAUAACGUAGGGAAACUUACGCUAAUACCGCAUACGACCUACGGGUGAAAGCAGGGGAUCUUCGGACCUUGCGCGAUUGAAUGAGCCGAUGUCGGAUUAGCUAGUUGGCGGGGUAAAGGCCCACCAAGGCGACGAUCCGUAGCUGGUCUGAGAGGAUGAUCAGCCACACUGGAACUGAGACACGGUCCAGACUCCUACGGGAGGCAGCAGUGGGGAAUAUUGGACAAUGGGCGCAAGCCUGAUCCAGCCAUACCGCGUGGGUGAAGAAGGCCUUCGGGUUGUAAAGCCCUUUUGUUGGGAAAGAAAAGCAGCAGGUUAAUACCCCGCUGUUCUGACGGUACCCAAAGAAUAAGCACCGGCUAACUUCGU
This 491-nucleotide ribosomal RNA is filed under the name uncultured bacterium. RNAcentral's name for it is "partial 16S ribosomal RNA". It matches the Rfam family "Bacterial small subunit ribosomal RNA", at positions 29 to 506 of the family's 1533-position model. The record is from RNAcentral.